This 439-nucleotide ribosomal RNA is filed under the name Vigna hosei var. pubescens. Its description in RNAcentral is "eukaryotic LSU rRNA". The stretch from base 288 to 439 matches the Rfam family "Eukaryotic large subunit ribosomal RNA", at positions 1 to 154 of the family's 3401-position model. The record is from RNAcentral. Lineage: Eukaryota; Viridiplantae; Streptophyta; Magnoliopsida; Fabales; Fabaceae.
ACUCGAGUCUUUGACGCAAGUUGCGCCCGAAACCAUUAGGUUGAGGGCACGCCUGCCUGGGUGUCACAUGUCGUCACUCCCUAUGUAUUUGGUCAUUGGGGUGAAGGUUGGCUUCCUGCGAGACUAAUUCCUCGUGGUUGGUUGAAAACUAGUUUAGCGGUGCAGUCCCCUGCAAUAAAUGGUGGAUGAGAAACUCCUCUCGAGACCAAUUGUGGGUGUGGUACUGUGCUUGAUGGAAUCAUUUGACCCUAUUGUGUUGUUUGUCUGUAAUAAUGAUGUACUUAUCGAGACCUCAGGUCAGGCGGGGCUACCCGCUGAGUUUAAGCAUAUCAAUAAGCGGAGGAAAAGAAACUAACAAGGAUUCCCUUAGUAACGGCGAGCGAACCGGGAACAGCCCACCAUGAUAAUCGAUUGCCUUUGGCGUUCGAAUUGUAGUUAA